Molecule: long non-coding RNA, 2539 nt
Organism: Biomphalaria glabrata
Lineage: Eukaryota; Metazoa; Mollusca; Gastropoda; Planorbidae
Exons: 3
Source: RefSeq, a predicted model, not a curated record
UUUAGAUAUUAUAUGACAUCUACAAAAAUUAUUAUUAAGAUAUAAUUAUAGAAUCUAGACUAGUUAUUUAUGUACAUAAAAUAUAUAAAUAAAAGAUAAAAUUUAUGCAGGCCUAGAUCCCAUAAAUUUAUAAUUGAUCCAGAUCUAUCAGUAAAAGUUACCUUCAAUGGGAAGUUUUACCCAAUCUAAACUAUACAAGACAAUUUAUAAUCCAUGCCUCGCCUACACCCCAUACAUUAAAUAAUAGUUCCCAUUCCAUGCCAUGUCCAGACCCAUGAGUUCAUGAAGUAAUAAAUGAUGUGGUGUCAAGUUGGAUCUAUCCCCUGAAAUUCAGCACUUUAAUAUAAAACUCACAUAUCUAGUUAAUUAUUUGCUAUGACACUCUGAUCAACUUGGACUUGUGUGAUACAUAUAGGCCUAUGUUUCUUAUCAGAUUUAAUGAAUGAAGUUUUGGUGCAUUUUAAGGCUACAAAAGUAUCAUCAGGUGCAUUCUAACCAUUGGUAUUUUUCGUGGCAACAUUUUUAUUCUAGUCUGUGAUAAAUUAUAAAUUUAAAAAAAUGUUUGUAAUGUUUCAGUUAUUAACAAGUAGAACCAUGCCAACCAGUUCUGAUGAUGUACCAGAAUGGCUCAAGGAUCAUACUUAUACUAUUUCUACUCUCUGGGCAGACAUUAAUAAUAUUGGCAUCCAUUCAAUAUUUAUUUUAUGUUUGGAAAUACAAGUAAAAGGCAUGCAUUCCUGACAAGUCAAUGACUGGUUGCACCUCUUAAAGAUAACUUUCUGUUAUGAGAAAAGAUGAGAUUCUUGGACUCCUGCAUAGCACCACCAGAAAGGAAAAUCCCAUCAUGUUGCAAAAUAAAAGUCUUGGACCAAUUUUAAUUUAAGAUAUAUAUAUUAUACUGUAAGCUCUAUACAUAUUUAUGUAUAUCCGUCAUUCAGCCAACAGGUUUGGAUUUAGUAUUUCUUUAAAUCUGUUUGAUAUUGUACUUGAAAACUAUUAAUCUGAGCCACAUUAAAACAAUAGUGAGUGCAGUGAAUGAGUGGUAAAGCACUUGGCUUCUGAACUGAGUGUUCCUGGGUUCGAUUAAGACUGGGAUUUUCAAUUUCAGAAUUCAAAAGGCUGGGGAUCCAUGGUUGAAUGGUUAAGUCAUGGGUUUGAAUCUCUGUGAAGACUCAGAUUAAAAUUUUUUAGAUUUUUGGGUGCCCCUGAGUCCACCUAACUCUAAUGGGUAGCUGACUUUCGUUUUGGAUAGUAAAGAUGGUUGGUUGUUGUGCUGGCCACAUGAUGCACUGGCCAAAGAAUCAAAUGACCUUAACAUCAUCUGCCCUAUAGGUUGUGACGUCUGAAAUGGGAUUUUUUUUCAAAAGGUGGUUGGUUGUUGUGCUGGGUACAUGACACCCUCGCUAACCAUGGGGCACAGAAACUGAUAAACUUUAUAUCAUCUGCCCCAUAGAUUGCAAGAUAUGUAAGGGAAAUUUUACUUUUUUAAAAUUAAAAUAAGAAUCUAUCAAAAGUAAACAUAAAAUAUGGUGCAUUCUCCUUAAAACUAAAACCUGGUGCGAAGGUUUAAAAUGUUGGCAAAAAAAAGCAACAUCAUAUAUUCUUAAUUCCCUUUGCAAAACUUACUGAGAAGAACAUGCAUGUUGUUCCCUCAUAAGUUUCUUGACAGAGGAAAUCUUGUUUAUAUUAGAUUUGAAUUAAGCAAAUUAAGAAAAAAAUUAUAAUCAAUUUUUCAAAUGGUUGUAUCUAAACCUUAUGAAUUAUUUUUCAGUUAUAAGUAUAUUGAGAUUAAUGGAUAAUCAUGAAAUUGUUAAAUAAUUGCUGCUAUCAUUCCAUUGACUAAAGAACCAUAAUUUUUUUUUUUUUAAAUUAAUUUCAAAAUGAUUUUUUUCAAGCAUAGAGUUCACAUAGAUCUUGAGUGAAUUUUUUUUUUAUUUGACUAAUGCUUCAAUUUUAUUGUAUCAUAUUAGUUGUUAAUUUUUAUUACCCAGAAUAUUUAAAAAAAUGAGUACACUAUUUUCAUGUAAUAAUGUAACUUGGUAUUCACACAAUGCUCAAAAUACACCAUAAUCUUUAGGCCAUACAGAUUUGUAUAAAUUAACUUGUUUAAAUACAUUGUAAAUGUAUAUUGUUUGGAUAAGAAUAAAGUUUUUCUGUAGACAAUUAUUGUUCAAGAUUUGUUGAUGCUCCUGCUUAAUCAAUUAUAUAUACAGGUCAUUAGUUUUAACACGUCUGAUAAUAAAUGACAGUACAAGUUAGUGAAUGAAAAUUUGUCAUUAUUUCAGCUGCUUUAGUCCUACAUCAAUGUGAGGUACCAGUACUUUGAUUGUGUCAUAUAACAAUUUAAAGCAACAUUUUGAAAUGAAUAGUCUGUAGAAUUGACAGUAAAUACAUUUAAGUGAUGGGCUGUGAUCUGCGUGAAUUGGGAGCUGAUCAUGUAUUGAAUUUGUGUUUUUGAUCUUUACUUCAAGUAAAUGUUAAUGAGCAAUUAAUUUUUAAUGAAUAAAUAAUUUAAAAAUAAAUACAAAAGAACCAUAAA